GUCUAUGUAGACUAAUAUUAAAUCGUGAUGCUGUUAACUUCAAAAUGAGAUACGUCUCCGUAGUCG
Molecule: transfer RNA, 66 nt
Filed under: Pachybothrium hutsoni
Lineage: Eukaryota; Metazoa; Platyhelminthes; Cestoda; Tetraphyllidea; Onchobothriidae
Description: tRNA-Asn
Source: RNAcentral